UACGUGAGGUGGCAAGCGUUGUCCGGAUUUAUUGGGACGUAAGCGCGCGCAGGCGGUUCGAAAGUCCAUGGAUGAAAGCGGCCUGCCUCAACUGGCGAGUGCGUGGGACUGUCGAGCUGGAGGGAAGCAGAGGCGAGUGGAAUUCGGGUGUAGUGGUGAAAAUGCGUAGAGAUCCGGAGGAACACCAGUGGCGAAGGCGGCUCGCUGGGCUUUACCUGACGCUGAGGCGCGAAAGCG
This 237-nucleotide ribosomal RNA is filed under the name uncultured bacterium. Its description in RNAcentral is "partial 16S ribosomal RNA". It matches the Rfam family "Bacterial small subunit ribosomal RNA", at positions 524 to 761 of the family's 1533-position model. The record is from RNAcentral.